RNAcentral lists this ribosomal RNA (799 nucleotides) under Stichodactyla gigantea. Its description in RNAcentral is "partial 12S ribosomal RNA". It matches the Rfam family "Bacterial small subunit ribosomal RNA", at positions 350 to 1478 of the family's 1533-position model. The record is from RNAcentral. Lineage: Eukaryota; Metazoa; Cnidaria; Anthozoa; Actiniaria; Stichodactylidae.
AGCAGUAGAGAAUCUUGUGCAAUAAACGAAAGUAUGACACAGAGAGGACACAUUUAAUUAAGCCCGUCAAAUUAAGUGCCAGCCGACGCGGUUAAACUUAAGGGCUGGUCUUUAUAAGUAAAAAGGCGUAAAGGAUGUGUAGGCCAAGAAACAAUCAAAGUAGGUAAAUGGAAUUUUUCUGGAGCGGUAGAAUGCGAGGAUAGAAAAUAGAACCCCUAAGGUAAAAACUAUUUACCACAAGGUAGGCUGAAACAUGAAAGUGUGGGGAGCAAACAGGAUUAGAGACCCUGGUAGUCCACACUGUAAACUUUGAAGAUGAUGCUUAGCAGACCCGAAAGGUAAAAUCUUCCGCCUGAGUAGUACGAUCGCAAGAUUAAAAUUCAAAAACUUUGGCUGUUCACUAUUUCGAUUAGAGGAGCGUGUAGUUUAAUUCGAUGGUCCGCGUGUUACCUUACCCCAACUUGAAUCUGUGACCGGUAUUGCAUGGCCGUCGUAAGUUCGUGUAUUAAGCUAAAAGGGACCCAACCCGGGCAUUUGCCCGGAGGAAGUCAGGUCUUAUGAUCCGAAUGUUGGGGGAUUUUAUGCGCUACAUUUUCUUAUAUAAUGGGAAACCUGAAAGGUGAGCCUCUAAAGUAAGAGUUCGGAAGGUCGCUGUAAGACGACUGGAAGUUGGAUUUAAUAGUAAUCGGAAAGUAGGGCGUUCCGGUGAAUUGGUACAAGUGUUAGCACAAAUUGCCCGUCACCUUUACCUAGAAUGGUUAUUCGGACGUCUUCGGUGAUUACGAAUGCCUACGAGGUA